This 433-nucleotide ribosomal RNA is filed under the name uncultured bacterium. RNAcentral's name for it is "partial 16S ribosomal RNA". It matches the Rfam family "Bacterial small subunit ribosomal RNA", at positions 29 to 507 of the family's 1533-position model. The record is from RNAcentral.
AACGAACGCUGGCGGCAUGCCUAACACAUGCAAGUCGAACGAGACCUUCGGGUCUAGUGGCGCACGGGUGCGUAACGCGUGGGAACCUGCCCUUAGGUUCGGAAUAACUCCCCGAAAGGGGUGCUAAUACCGGAUAAUGUCUUCGGACCAAAGAUUUAUCGCCUUUGGAUGGGCCCGCGUUGGAUUAGCUAGUUGGUAGGGUAAAAGCCUACCAAGGCGACGAUCCAUAGCUGGUCUGAGAGGAUGAUCAGCCACACUGGGACUGAGACACGGCCCAGACUCCUACGGGAGGCAGCAGUGGGGAAUAUUAGACAAUGGGCGCAAGCCUGAUCCAGCCAUGCCGCGUGAGUGAUGAAGGCCUUAGGGUUGUAAAGCUCUUUUAGCCGGGAAGAUAAUGACAGUACCGGGAGAAGAAGCGCCGGCUAACUCCGUG